Molecule: transfer RNA, 161 nt
Filed under: Bryobacterales bacterium
Lineage: Bacteria; Pseudomonadati; Acidobacteriota; Terriglobia; Bryobacterales
Description: tRNA-Ser
Source: RNAcentral
GGCAAAGAAGCGGCAAACGUCGAUUCGCGAUCAUGGUCCCAAUAUGGUCCUAAACGCACUCUCUUCCAACCAUAACUCCUUACACAUCAAUAAUAUAGACCGAUUCGCAAAAAGGUCUGCAAAACCUUUAUUCGUGGGUUCGAUUCCCACCCGCGCCUCCA